UACAGAGGUCUCAAGCGUUGUUCGGGUUCAUUGGGCGUAAAGGGUGUGUAGGUGGCGCGCUAAGUCGGGUGUGAAAUUUCGGAGCUUAACUCCGAAACUGCAUUCGAUACUGGCGUGCUUGAGGACUGGAGAGGAGACUGGAAUUCAUGGUGUAGCAGUGAAAUGCGUAGAGAUCAUGAGGAAGACCAGUGGCGAAGGCGGGUCUCUGGACAGUUCCUGACACUGAGACACGAAGGCCAGGGGAGCAAACGGG
Molecule: ribosomal RNA, 253 nt
Filed under: uncultured bacterium
Lineage: Bacteria
Description: partial 16S ribosomal RNA
Rfam family: Bacterial small subunit ribosomal RNA
Source: RNAcentral